RNAcentral lists this transfer RNA (73 nucleotides) under Phytohabitans houttuyneae. RNAcentral describes it as "tRNA-Val". It matches the Rfam family "tRNA". Rfam says of the family: Transfer RNA (tRNA) molecules are approximately 80 nucleotides in length. Their secondary structure includes four short double-helical elements and three loops (D, anti-codon, and T loops). Further hydrogen bonds mediate the characteristic L-shaped molecular structure. tRNAs have two regions of fundamental functional importance: the anti-codon, which is responsible for specific mRNA codon recognition, and the 3' end, to which the tRNAs corresponding amino acid is attached (by aminoacyl-tRNA synthetases). tRNAs cope with the degeneracy of the genetic code in two manners: having more than one tRNA (with a specific anti-codon) for a particular amino acid; and 'wobble' base-pairing, i.e. permitting non-standard base-pairing at the 3rd anti-codon position. The record is from RNAcentral. Lineage: Bacteria; Bacillati; Actinomycetota; Actinomycetes; Micromonosporales; Micromonosporaceae.
GCCUGUGUAGCUCAACGGAAGAGCGCCUGGUCCACACCCAGGAGGCCGGGGGUUCGACACCCUCCGCGGGCAC